Molecule: microRNA precursor, 123 nt
Filed under: Drosophila virilis
Lineage: Eukaryota; Metazoa; Arthropoda; Insecta; Diptera; Drosophilidae
Description: microRNA dvi-mir-375 precursor
Gene: dvi-mir-375
Source: miRBase by way of RNAcentral
CGCUCCAUUCAAAGUUCGGGCAGCAAAUUACUUGGGCCAAGGGAAUGCAAACUGUCAACGCAUUGCAAUAAGUUUGUUCGUUUGGCUUAAGUUAUUUUCAUGCCCAACAUAACGCCACGUGGU